GCGAAUAUAGUUUAAUAAAAACAUUAGAUUGUGAUUCUAAUAAUAAGGGUUAAAACCCCUUUAUUCACC
Molecule: transfer RNA, 69 nt
Filed under: Lithobates sylvaticus (wood frog)
Lineage: Eukaryota; Metazoa; Chordata; Amphibia; Anura; Ranidae
Description: Rana sylvatica (wood frog) tRNA-His
Rfam family: tRNA
About the family: Transfer RNA (tRNA) molecules are approximately 80 nucleotides in length. Their secondary structure includes four short double-helical elements and three loops (D, anti-codon, and T loops).
Source: RNAcentral